Molecule: ribosomal RNA, 492 nt
Filed under: uncultured bacterium
Lineage: Bacteria
Description: partial 16S ribosomal RNA
Rfam family: Bacterial small subunit ribosomal RNA
Source: RNAcentral
AGUGAACGCUGGCGGUAGGCCUAACACAUGCAAGUCGAACGGCAGCACAGUAAGAGCUUGCUCUUACGGGUGGCGCGUGGCGGACGGGUGAGGAUUACAUCCGAAUCUACUUUUUCGUGGUGGAUAACGUAGGGAAACUUACGCUAAUACCGCAUACGACCUACGGGUGAAAGCAGGGGAUCUUCGGACCUUGCGCGAUUGAAUGAGCCGAUGUCGGUUUAGCUAGUUGGCGGGGUCAAGGCCCACCAAGGCGACGAUCCGUAGAUGGUGAGAGAGGAGGAUAGGCCACAAGGGAACUGAGACAGGGUCAAGAGGACUAAGAUAGGCAGCAGUGGGGAAUAUGGGACAGUGGGCGCAAGCAUGGUCCAGCCAGAGCGAGUGGGUGAAGAAGGCCUUGGGGGUGGAAAGACCUUUUGUUGGGAAAGAAAAGCAGCAGGUUAAGACCAAGCGGUUCUGACGGUACCGAAAGAAUAAGCACCGGCUAACUUCGUG